GUGCUUGCUUAAGCAGCAUGUAUACUAAAAUUGGAACGACACAGUAGAUUCUCACGGCCUCUGAGCAAGGGUGACAAUAGAGGUUUAUGAAGCAUUCCAUAUUUUU
Molecule: small nuclear RNA, 106 nt
Organism: Peromyscus maniculatus bairdii (prairie deer mouse)
Lineage: Eukaryota; Metazoa; Chordata; Mammalia; Rodentia; Cricetidae
Source: Ensembl